AGUCGAGCGAACAGACGAGGAGCUUGCUCCUCUGACGUUAGCGGCGGACGGGUGAGUAACACGUGGAUAACCUACCUAUAAGACUGGGAUAACUUCGGGAAACCGGAGCUAAUACCGGAUAAUAUAUUGAACCGCAUGGUUCAAUAGUGAAAGACGGUUUUGCUGUCACUUAUAGAUGGAUCCGCGCCGCAUUAGCUAGUUGGUAAGGUAACGGCUUACCAAGGCAACGAUGCGUAGCCGACCUGAGAGGGUGAUCGGCCACACUGGAACUGAGACACGGUCCAGACUCCUACGGGAGGCAGCAGUAGGGAAUCUUCCGCAAUGGGCGAAAGCUUGACGGAGCAACGCCGCGUGAGUGAUGAAGGUCUUCGGAUCGUAAAACUCUGUUAUUAGGGAAGAACAAAUGUGUAAGUAACUAUGCACGUCUUGACGGUACCUAAUCAGAAAGCCACGGCUAACUACGUGCCAGCAGCCGCGGUAAUACGUAGGUGGCAAACGUUAUCCGGAAUUAUUGGGCGUAAAGCGCGCGUAGGCGGUUUUUUAAGUCUGAUGUGAAAGCCCACGGCUCAACCGUGGAGGGUCAUUGGAAACUGGAAAACUUGAGUGCAGAAGAGGAAAGUGGAAUUCCAUGUGUAGCGGUGAAAUGCGCAGAGAUAUGGAGGAACACCAGUGGCGAAGGCGACUUUCUGGUCUGUAACUGACGCUGAUGUGCGAAAGCGUGGGGAUCAAACAGGAUUA
Molecule: ribosomal RNA, 738 nt
Filed under: uncultured Staphylococcus sp.
Lineage: Bacteria; Bacillati; Bacillota; Bacilli; Caryophanales; Staphylococcaceae
Description: bacterial SSU rRNA
Rfam family: Bacterial small subunit ribosomal RNA
Source: RNAcentral